Molecule: long non-coding RNA, 1740 nt
Organism: Molossus molossus (Pallas's mastiff bat)
Lineage: Eukaryota; Metazoa; Chordata; Mammalia; Chiroptera; Molossidae
Exons: 3
Source: RefSeq, a predicted model, not a curated record
AUGAAACAGAAAACACACAACGGAGAAAAUGAACAUCAACAGCUGGUUCCUUGGAAAGAUAAAUGCAGUGGUAGGCUUUGUCAACAGAGGGUGCUGGAGGGACUGCCGGGCCUGUCCUUUUGCUAAAUAUGAUUAGCUUUAUUUGGUAAGCAUGGGGAAAUGGGAAGAAUCUUCAGCAGGAGAAUGAGAGACCAUUAAUCUGUCAGAAGCACAACAGGAGAAAUGUAUCAGAGAAGACUGGUUAGAAAGCUACUGACAUUGCUCGGAUGAAGAGGACGCGCUGGAGUGGGAGCAGGGAAAUAAAGAUAUCUAUGGAAAGCCUGUAUUUAAGGCUCUAUUGUACGAGGGAUGAGGUUGGCUCUGGGCCCAGGAUGCCCGAGUUCAAAUGCAAGCUCUACCACUUUCCACCCUGUGUGUCUCUGGGCACAUACUCAAUCUCUCUGUGUUCUGGUUCCUCAUAAGUGCAAUAGGAAUAAAAGGAGUACCUCUAUCGAAGAGGGUUGUUGUGAAGAUUAAAUGAGGGCAAGACAUUUCCUCUCUCUGCCCAUGUUCUCAUUUGUAAAAAGAAGAGGUUGAAUGAGGUGACUUGAGAGCUCUCCGUCCCUGAGCAUUUCUGGACUAACCUGCUGAAAGAGGCCAUGAAGACUCUCCUCUGGAGACAUAUCCUGCUGUGCCCUAGAAGACAGAGUCCAACCAACUCAGUCAGUUUUCUAGGGUUUAUGCCUUCUAUGUGUCAUGCAGUAUAAAUUUAUUUUUCCUUCAAUCACUUAUCCUCUGGGCAAAAAUUUAUUUUCUAUUAAAGUUGAACAGAAGUGAAACAAAAUCAAUUUCUUCCCCUUGACAACACUAAAAGGAGGUUUUAGGAGAAAAAAGUUGUUGCCUACUAGUUAGUAAAGAAGUUGGUAUUAUUUAAAGUGUUACAUCCAUGAAUGAGGUCCACAACUUUUAAAUAAGUGUAAUGGAGCCAAAGUACUCUGUUGGUGGUAUAUGUAGUCCUCUUACAGGCUUCUAAUUGCUGAAAAAGUUCAGUAUGUCUCAGUGCCAUAACAAACAACCCAGAUAAUCAGGUCUGCUCCUCCUCUUCCAAGAAUCAAUUUAGACAUUACUGAAAAGGAUUUGAUUUAACAGUGACAAAGAAUAAGUCUAAGUAACUUUUCUUCCUCUCUGAUGCCAAAGCUUGUCUCCAAUAAAAGCAAGAAAACAUAAUCAAAUAGAAUGCAAGAGAAUGUAACAUUCAAGAAGUCAAGAUUUACCGAAAUUCGGGAGUGAUUCAUGGCAUUAACCAUACAGUUUCAAAUGAUUCCUAUCACCUCAAAUUGCGCAGCUACCAAGAGCAGGCUCACUGAGAUGUGAGCAGAGGGGCUGGGGCCCACCAUUCCAUUUGCUCACUUAGGCCAAACUAAUAGUUUAUUCUCCUGUGGGGAGUCUGCUUUACAGAUUCCCAUGCCCCAUGCCCCUCUGUCUUCAUGAGCUCCCAAGAACCAUACCAAAAAAGGAUCUCCAGCACAAAGGAUUUUUAGGGCAGUGAAACUCCUCUGUAUGAUACCAGAAUGGUGGAUACAUGUCUUGAUACAUUUACCCAAACCCACAAAAUGUACACCACCAAGAGUGAACCCUAAUGUAAUCUGUGGACAUUGGUGAGUGUUGGGUCAGUCGGGGAUAUGCAGGAGGCAACCAACUGAUGUGUCUCUCUCACACUGAUGUUUCUUUCUCUCUCUCUCCCUUCCUUCCAUUUAAAAA